GGGUUCGUAGGCGGUGUGGCAAGUCGGGAGUGAAAUCUAUGGGCUUAACCCAUAGGCUGCUUCCGAAACUGCUGUGCUGGAGUGUGGGAGAGGCGCGUGGAAUUGCAGGUGUAGCGGUGAAAUGCGUAGAUAUCUGCAGGAACACCCGUGGCGAAAGCGGCGCGCUGGACCACUACUGACGCUGAGGAACGAAAGCUAGGGGAGCAAACAGGAUUAGAUACCCUGGUAGUCCUAGCCCUAAACGAUCAGGACUUGGGGUGCCGCACGUUCGUGCGUCGUCCCGGAGCUAACGCGUUAAGUCCUGCACCUGGGGAGUACGGUCGCAAGACUGAAACUCAAAGGAAUUGACGGGGGCCCGCACAAGCGGUGGAACAUGUGGUUCAAUUCGACGCUACGCGAGGAACCUUACCUGGGCUCGAAGCGCACCUGACUAGCUGUAGAAAUACGGCCUUCCCGCAAGGGACAGGUGUGGAGGCGCUGCAUGGCUGUCGUCAGCUCGUGCCGUGAGGUGUUGGGUUAAGUCCCGCAACGAGCGCAACCCCUGCACGUAGUUGCCACUCCGCAAGGAGGGAACUCUACGUGGACUGCUCCGGAUAACGGAGAGGAAGGUGGGGAUGACGUCAAGUCCGCAUGGCCUUUAUGUCCAGGGCUACACACGUGUUACAAUGCAGGGCACAAACCGUUGCCAACCCGUGAGGGGGAGCUAAUCGGAAAAAACUCUGCUCAGUUCGGAUUGCAGUCUGCAACUCGACUGCAUGAAGCCGGAAUCGCUAGUAAUGGCGUAUCAGGUCGACGCCGUGAAUACGUUCCCGGGCCUUGUACACACCGCCCGUCACAUCACGAAAGUGAGCUGUACUAGAAGUCGCCGCGCUGACCGCAAGGAAGCAAGCGCCCAAGGUAUGACUCAUGAUUGGGGUGAAGUCGUAACAAGGUAACC
This 937-nucleotide ribosomal RNA is filed under the name uncultured soil bacterium. RNAcentral's name for it is "bacterial SSU rRNA". It matches the Rfam family "Bacterial small subunit ribosomal RNA", at positions 565 to 1501 of the family's 1533-position model. The record is from RNAcentral.